Oncorhynchus nerka (sockeye salmon) is the source of this 1425-nucleotide long non-coding RNA. RefSeq lists it as uncharacterized. The transcript has 2 exons. NCBI's taxonomy places the organism in Eukaryota, Metazoa, Chordata, Actinopteri, Salmoniformes, Salmonidae. The record is from RefSeq and is a predicted model, not a curated record.
AGCAAGUCUCCGGAAGGGAAUGAGGCCGGGAAUUUCAAAUGAAAUGUAGUCAUUUGACUGCUAGGAGCAGUGAACUACAACUGCAGAGUCAUAAACAAAAAAUGGAAGAUGAAAGCAUGCGCAGAUGGCCUGACAGCUAAGAAUAUACUCAAGCCUGAAGUACAUUAUGGGCAGAGAAAGCACAGCGUCAUGCAGUGUAAGGCUUAAACAAAAGGUGGAUAACUGUCUGUUUGAAAGCCCAAAUCAAAUUUUAUUGGUAACAUACACAUGGUAAAUCAUCUGAUCAGAAAUGUUUUAAUAUUUGUAUCUUUUGAAGUUCAAUCUUUAAUCACAAGACAUUGCAUUACAGACAUCAAGCCAUAUUGUUUAUACAUUUCAACAUUAGCUCCCUCCCCCAAACACAGUUCCCAAUCCCAACAGAGACAAAAACAUGUCCAGAUAGGUGGAAAUUACAGUUUGUCCUACUGCACAUUUCCUGCACUACUCAUCUAAAAUAAAAAGCUACAGCCAAAACACUGCCAACAUGCAACUGAGCUUAAACAGAGCCUUUUGAAUACUAGGAGAUGACACAAAGCUGGUGAUGAAUUGGCUUCUUCUAUGAUAACUAGCUCCAUACCCGCACACAGCAUGCCAUGCCAAAGUCCAGUACAACCCUCCCUCCCCCUCCAGCCCCUCCCUCGACUGCUGGUGAGAGGCAGAUCACUAGUGCUGUGACGACAGGUUCCGGGCAGCCUAGGCGUAUCAGUGGUUGCUCAGUCCGACUACUUCUCUGGCUGCUCCACGGCCUUGGUUUCGCUCAUGUACUUAUCGAUCAGGUGUAAAGGCACUCCACGCUGCAUGAGCUCAGAGAAGGUAAAGCCCCCUGGGGGAGAAAGGAGAGACACUCAAUUUGUUGUUAGGAGCUAUAGAGAGAAAGUGAAAGAGAGAGCGAAGACGAUCAAUCUUUAACAGAGAAGAUCGUAAGAGUCCAACAGGAAAAUAGCAGAGGGUCAGUGUGCAACAUCGAAACAGACACUGAAACAGCGAAAAGAGGGUGAGUCUGCAACAAAGAAACAGAAGAGAGACACCAUACAGUACAAAAAAGAAGAGAUACCAAAGUGGACAGCAGUGAGGAGAGAAAAUAGAGACAGUGUCAGUAAAGGACAGGUGAAAUACGUCACUCUUGAGUCUGUGAGCAAAUCUAUAUCUGCCUAGGCUUACAGUGGCAGAGCUAUAGGAGCCAUGACAUGGCCAUUCACUAAGUAGGCCCAAAAUGCGCCAAGAAGCUCAGGAACAUUAACUGGAUUAAAGCCUUGUCUAGUACAUAAUAGAUGGUGCAUUGACAUAAAUGAUAAUAACCCUAUUGUUUCAAAUAUAGGCCUACUAUAGAUAUAUCAUCUACAGUGGGGCAAAAAAAGUAUUUAGCCAGCCACCAAUUGUGCAAGU